Molecule: long non-coding RNA, 2584 nt
Filed under: Salvia miltiorrhiza (redroot sage)
Lineage: Eukaryota; Viridiplantae; Streptophyta; Magnoliopsida; Lamiales; Lamiaceae
Description: long non-coding RNA (SMIL_LNC000465)
Source: RNAcentral
UUAGAUGCAAGCAUAUCUCACAAAUCUCCACCUCGCUUCAUCAACUCGAACACUGCUAUCUGCAAACCAACAUUCAAACAUCAUAUCAUCUUCACCAGCUUGAGAUAAUGCUCAAACUUAGCUCUGGGUAAUGCCUUAGUUAAAGUAUCUGCUGUAUUAUCCUCAGUUGGGACCUUUGACACCUGAAUUACUCCUUUGUUCACCAAGUCACGAACAAAAUGAUAGCGCACAUUGGUGAAUCGCAAUUGAGUGGAUAGUGUUUUAACCGGGAAAUCAUGAUCGGGUUGUGAAUUUUACCUAGUAUUGAACGUGAGAAUCGAAAGAGAGUAGAGUAGAAUUGAAUUGUCAAGAACAAAAAGGAAUUCGCCGUUGUGUUGAGAAAGAGCACGUAAAAAUACACGGUACAAGUGCAUGGGCAUUUAUAGAGUACACUUUAGGGGCAAAAUAGUAAUUUCAGUCUUGAAGUCACGUUCCCCGCGUGGUCAGGGGUACGAUGGUAAUUUUGCCUGCCUUCGCUCAUUCCUCUGCUCAGAGGUAGAGAACCGUGUGUAUCGGGAAGCUUUGGAUUUCUCUGCGGACAGAUGAUUCCUCUGCUCUGACGCUUCCCGGGUAAAGUGGUCUUUUCUGCCGUUGACUGUCCGUGAGUGGAACAUUCCUCUGAUCCGAUUGAUUCCUCCGACCCGAGUGAUUCAUCUCGCCCAAGCUCAUUCCUCUGCUCUGCACAUAUUACUCCUCAUCAGCUACUCCCCCUCUGGUCUGGCUAGUUGCUCUGAAAACGGAGUAACUAGUCAGAGUGUUCGCCCGUGUUGCUGAUGUCACCCGCAUUAAAUGCCCGUCCUUUUGCAGCAUACUUUUCCGCAUCCCGAGAUACCUUUUCAGCCUUUUCGUAUUUCCGUAAAAAUCCUUGGCCGUCGAUCUUUCCCUCGGUGCCACGUGUCGUUCAUCCCGCUACCCUGCUAUCGCCCGCGUGGGUUAAACUUAGUAGAUUCAAACUCAAACUUUCACUUCUCAUUUUCUUCGUUCUUGCUUCAUACGUUUCAACUGCUCUCAUUAUUUUCGGCGGUCUUCCUUCCCCGAUUCCGGCGUACACUUUGCGAUUUAUCUUCCUCAACCGCAGUCUUAGGUAAAUCCUCCAUCCCUUCUUCCUAGUACUUGUGUUUGGCGUGGGUUGGUUGUUUUGAGUUUGUUGGUGCUCUGCUUAGAGCUUGUAAACCCUAGGUGAUAGUAUCCAUGGCUUCUUCCUCCGCUAACCGCCCUGUUUUUUCCCCUUCUUCUACCCCUACUCCUCCGGCUUCUCCACCUUCUUCUCCUGAUCCCCAGAAUCCUCAAGACCCUCCGGCUCUUCCACCGUCUUCUCCCGCUCCCCAGAAUCCUCAAGACCUUCCGGCCUCCCCUGAAUCUUCCCCACCUCCUCCUAAGAUGCCUAAGCCCAUUCCUAUAUCCAGGCUAGAUGUCGCAGAUAUGCGUAAAAUGGUCGAAAUAUGUAAAAACCCCGCAAACCUGAGAUUCGAGCCACAGACUAAGUCUUUGGAGCCAUUCCAUAGAAUGCAUAUGAACACCGUGGCUAUAUGGCAAGCCCAAAUUGACACUAGAUUGAGACUUCCCCCUCCCCAACUCUUAAUAGAUAUUUGUAAUCAUUUCCAGAUUCCUUUCUAUCAGGUAGCACCCUCCGCCCUCCGGAGAUUAUAUUGUUUCCAUAUCUUAUGUAAAUUUCAUGGUGUCAACGACACCAAAAAGUUAUUCCUCCAAACCCAAUCCCUAAGAUUACAGGGUGGUCCCCUAUACAGCUUUGCCGCCCGUAAAACGUACCCCACCACCUUCCUUAGUUCUCUGAACUCUUAUGAUAAGGGUUUUCUGUCCUAUUACUGCUACGUGGUAACCGCCACUGGUAGUUGGCGCCAGUACGGUGCCCAAGAGCUAAAGUGGCAUGAUGUUCGUUCCAAACAUAAGCUUGCUUCCCAAUGAACCCCCAGUAAUUUUGAUCUGGGGGUGAUAGCCAAACUUAACGCCUCUAAUAAAGAAGAGCCCCUCCCCUGCAAACAACUCACCGAGAGCAACUCGGCUUUAGCAGCCAAUGAUUUAUUCCCUCUGUAUCCACGUACAGCUAUAGGUAAUGUCACAUGUUAAUAAAUAUAUGUGUCGGCAUUGCCCUGAUUUUGAUGAUGUAGCAUUGUUUAUCUGCAGGCAUGUCGUGGAGACAGAAAUGACGAAUAAUCCUGUCCGCUGACCGUCCCUCUGGUCCCGGGGGACGUGGUUCUAGGGCCCAAGGUUUCGGCGGUAGAGGCUCUGGGGACGCCAGCUCCAGGGCAGACACGUCAGAGCAGCCCGCUGGCUCUGAAGUGGACACCUCUCGGACGGUGUCCGACGCCGCAUGGGUGAUCACCCCUACGCGAAGCCUUCUUCCAGGCAGGGGAAAAUCCAUGGAGGUCCUAGAGAUGUUCAGCCCGGAUCGGCAGAAGGUCGGUGGCUCUGGUGCCAGCUCUCAUAGGGCAGAGGGGGGGUCUGCUCUCACUGCUAUUUUCGGGGGUGAUACCCCCUUGGUGGAUCUCUCCGAGGAUGCUCCCGUACCAGAGAAGACUCCGGA